Molecule: RNA transcript, 4288 nt
Organism: Pantherophis guttatus
Lineage: Eukaryota; Metazoa; Chordata; Lepidosauria; Squamata; Colubridae
Gene name: vomeronasal type-2 receptor 26-like
Source: RefSeq, a predicted model, not a curated record
AGUUCAAGGCCAUCCAGGCCUAAACUUUCUCUCCUCUGAGGGCUUCCAUGGGGAGCAGAGACUCUCCUCGUGAAAGGCCUCGGCCUCUGAAAUACAGCCAGGGCCCACAGGCAGCUCGGAGGCCCCGGAGGGAAACCUCCAGGAGGGCGGAGGGGCUCCUGCUUGGGCCGGGGUCCGGCUGGAUGACCUCUGGGGGCCCCUCCGGCCCUGGAUCCUCUGGGGCUCCCCUGAAAGAACCAGGAGGGGCUGCUGGUCUCCCCCCCUCCAACCUCCCUCCCCCCCUUUGGGGAACCUUCCCGACUCCUGGCUGGAGAGGAGAGAAAAUCUCCCCUCAGCCUUUUUCUCCCCUCAAAAUGGAGGGAGGGAGAAUCGGCUCAGGAAAAAAGAGGCCACAAAAUGGAGGGUCUUUGCCUGCUUUAGCUGUCCUGCUCGCUGCCUGUGGGGGCCAGCUGGGGCUGAAAGGCCGGACUGUAGGCUGCCCCCUACAGGCAGUGUGAGGGACAGCUAAAGCGUGGAAAGAGGACCCCGAGUGCUGGACAGGGGAUUCUGGGAGUUGAAGUCCAGAGGCCUUUGCUGAGGUUGAGCCACCUGCCCUGGGAGGCCCUGCACUGGACACUCGGACAGAUGACCUCCACUGAAGGGCCCCCAAGGGGGGGGAGGCCCAACCCCCCAUCCCCUUUUCCCUGACUUCACGGGGGCAGGAGGGGGAUAUGGGACACUGGGGGGCAACCAGGGAAUGAAGGAUUUUUCCCUCUUUUUUAACAUAUAUAUAUAUAUAUAUAAACUUUUUCUUUUCCUCCUCCAUCAGCAGAGGAUCUAAAGCCUCCACCUUCUUCCUUCUGGUUCCGUUGCUGGGCAGAGGCCGAGGCAGAGCCGGGGGAGCCGAGGGGGGAGGAAGGGCCAGGCCUCCCUUCCCCCCUCAGAGCCUCCAUCCUGGCUUCUCUCCUCAGGGGGGACCUGCUGGCCGAUCGGCCCAGGAAGCUCUUUGGGGGCCCCGAAGCCUCUGGAUCCAGGGGGGAGGAAGGUGGGAGCCUGGAUGGAGACCAUGGGAGAGAAGCCGGAGAGGCUCUUCCUCCUGCGAGGCUCCUCUUCAGCCCAGACUCUCCUCCGCCCAGUGUGGGGAAAGGUCCCCCCCCAGCCUCCCUGAGAGGAAAGCGGCCCCAGCCGCCCCUGCCCCCCUCCCCUGGGCCUCUCCUGGGCCCCCGUCUCUCUCUGGCCCCCUCCCCUCUGGGCCCCUCCAGGCUCCAGGGAGACCCAGCAGAGACCCUCCGGGAGGAGAGGAGCCCCUUCCCAGGCCUCCGCCUGGCCUUCCACCCAGAGCCCCCCAGGACCUCCUAGCCAGGCCCUGAGAGGAGAACCUGGGAUGGGGACCCUCCUCUCCCUUCAGAUCAGCCCCCUCCCCAGUUCUCCCUUCUGGGCAAAGGGGGACGUCUCCAUCUUCCUCAUCCAGAGAAGAGACACAAUCCGUCAACAAUGGAUCCCAAUGAACCAGGGACUCAGGUGCCCCAAGAGCAGCUUCAAAGCACUCGGAGGCUUUUUAGGGAAGGGGGCUUCACCCCACAGCCUCAGAGAUUGGAAAGUCAGAGGGGUCCCCCUUUUUAAAAUCAGCUCCAAUUUAUGAAGUUCUGACAUGAAAGAAAAUCCCAAACAGGCCCCACUCUUCACCUUAGGCAGAAUUCAAGGGGACUGAUUGCUUCCUCGGCCUUAGAAGAAAGGCAGCACGAGAGUUAAGGGUCACCAAUCUAGAGUGGCACCAAACUCCAUACUUCUGGGUGACCUUCCCCUGCAAGUCCCUGGAGACAAGAGACCCGGUUGAAGGACAGCAGAGGUCAAUUCCCUUGUUAUUGGACUAUCUUUCUCCAGCAUCCCUUUCCUGACACGUCCUGACUGGAAGGACCACAACCACGACAGGAAUUGACCCCAGGAGUGUAGUUGUGGCUUUUCACAAACAAGCUUUUCUCCAUCCUCUCCUCUGCACAUGGAGCCCAGAAGAAGUUCAGGAUCCCAAGAGGAGAAGUUGCUUCUCCCUGUAAUUAAUAAUGAUUAUCUGGGCCUUGGAGAUAUCCAUACCUGUGAUAGAGAGAGCAGAUUGAAGCCAUAAGCAAAGAAUCUUGUAUCAGAAAAGCAUAAAUUUGUCAAGCUCUGUGGGAACAAGUUUUGGGACAGGCAGGAUCUGUGCUCUUGAUUGUACGUUUCUCUCCUUUCCAGGUGAAGCUGAGUGUUUCUCUGUUUAUAUCAGGAAAGUCGCUGGCAUUUCAAUCUUCUGAGAGUGUUUUGAAUUGUUCCAACUGUUCCUGCUGUGGGUGUUAGAAACAGGAAGAAGAUUAAUAAAGCUCCAUGAAUUAUGGACCUCCUGCUUCUGCUUCUGAUGCUGCUGGUGUCCCAUCCAGUCUCUGGGAAGCUUGGAAGGAAAUGCCUGCUGAGUUUGGACCACCAGGAUGAAAAUACACCAUUGAGCUUUUACAGACCAGGAGACCAUCUCGUUGGUAUAGUUUUAACUGAAACACAAUUAUCACCUAUAAUGUUGCCUUUCCACAGUGCUCCUUCUAUACUUUCUCAUGCGUAAGUCAUUCAGGGUGAUGGAGCUGCAUCCCCUCCUAACACUCUCCUUCUUUUCUUCUUAUUUCACUUACUUUUAUAUUAUAGGACUUGUCUAAUUUCCUGAAUGAUUUUGAUUUCUAUAAUUUGCCUCUUUUUUAUUUUGUAGAAAAGACUCAAAUCCAAAGAUGGGGUUAAAAAACCUGAAGGCAAUGCAGAUUAUUUUCCUCUCCCCGUUCACUCCUGAGUUCAUCAGUUGAAUUCAUUUUGUUUAAAGGAGGGACUGAAACAGUUGUAGUUGCCUCUGCCCAGCCCAUUCCCAUGUUUCUAUAACUGAUUAUUGGUUUUGGAUCAAUAUUGGCUUAAGACUCAGUAGGUUUAUGGAGGCAAAAAGGAAUAAAUUCUUUUAAAAAGUUUGUUGUUACUGUUGAUAAUAACUUGAACAUUUUUCUACAGUACGUUUUCUUCUAGUUUUAUAUACACCCUACUAUUCAUUUUCAACAUUCAAGGGGUCACCAAGAACUCCCAGCUCCUGCACAAUCUCACACUGGGCUACAACAUCCAUGACAACUAUUUGAAUACUUUACACACUUCAGAUGCCUUGCUGGACAUGCUCUCCACUGGAGAAGCCAAUGUCCCCAACUACGGCUGUGGAAGGAAGGAGAACCUCCUGGCUCUUCUUGAUGCAGCUGACAGGGACAUCUCCAUCCAGGCAUCAACAUUAGCAGCACCUUACAAAGUCCCACAGGUGCUUUUUUCAAGAGGCAACUGGACUUUCUGGUUUUUCUUUGAAGACCUUUUGCUUCUCAUCCAGAGCUGAAGAACCUGGACGACUGAGAAUCUCCAUAGACAUAUCAGUAAUAACCUUGUUUCAGAGGCUCUGAGUGAUAAAAGGAAAUUCCCCUUUUUCCACCAGAUGCUCCCCAAAGAAGGAUUCCAGUACCCAGCAAUUGUCCAACUGCUCCUCCAUUUCAGAUGGACCCUGAUUGGCCUCUUUGCUUCAGACACAGAGAAGGGAGAGAAUUUCAUGAGGAUUUUUAUUCCUAUGCUUGUCAGGAAUGGAAUUUGUGUGGUUAUAUCACAACUGUUCUCAACAACUGGAUACACAGCUUCCCUCAGGGAUUCCCUCUCUAAGUGGAGACAAGUCAACGUCUUUGUUCACUUCAUAGAAAAUGUUACCAUUUUGGGGAGAAUUCUGCCUUUCCAUUUAACACUUAUGCGUUUGCCAGGAUCCACUGAAGGGAAAGUCUGGAUCUGUACAGCUUUGGGAAGAUUAAUUUUGAUAAAGCACAGACUUUACAAAUACAUCCAUAGUAUUUGGAACUUUGGUUAUCUGGCAAAAGAAAGGCCAAUGGAUUCUGCCUUUGAACCCCAUUUCUUUGUGGAAGAAAAGUUUCAAGAUCUUUAUUUCCGCUGUUCUCUUUCAAAGAAUGUCUUUUCUGUCAAAGGCCGCAGAAGAUGCACCCAGAAAGCCCCACUGGAGACCCAGGAGGAAAAAAACAGAAGAAGGUUCACAAAUUAUCCCCUUGUGUACAGUAUGAUUCAGACUCUGGUCCAGGCCUUGAAUGCCGCUUAUUCCUCCAGAUGGAGAAGGGGAAGGAAGGAGGGCGAAGGGAGGUUGGGGGCUCCAAGGCAGCCGUGGCAGGUAUGGGCUUCUGAUAUUGUCAGAUAUGAAGUAUUGCUUCUAAAAUAAUGUUUCAUUACAGCUUUUGCUUCUGCGUAAUAAAUAAAUAAAAUAAAGAACUAGAAA